UAUUACAAUACACCAGCCUCCCUUAUCCUCUCCAUCUUCUGACCCUCCAAUCCCUAUCCUCUCUCUCACGUGCUACUGCACGCCGGGCGGCGGCGGCCUGCUCAUCUCCGCCGGCGGCUCAGUCUGCGGUGCGCGGCUGGUCUGGGGCGAGGGCGCGCGGGCGACCUGCGGCAAUGGUGAGGGCGCGUGGGCGUGGGCAGCCUACGGCACGGGCGAGGGCGUGCGGGCUGUAGCAAAUGAUGCUGUCACAAAUCAGGCUAAUUUAUGGUUUGACUCUCCAAAAUUUUUGGAAUGACUUAAUUAUAAUUUGGAACGGAGGGAGUAAUUGUAUCUACUUCACGAUUGUUAUCUGAACAGCAUAUUGGAGAGGAGAAGUCCAGCAUGUCAUUUUGUCACUACAUGAAUGGAAGUUUAUGAUAAGAGGACAUGAGGUUUACUAAAUAGAAGCAAACUGAACUAACCUUCAGAACUUUGGAAUGAAUGUAGUAUUUCAAAAUAAAAGGUGCGGUUGCUGCUUCAUUUGAAUGAUUUGAACUCUGCUCAAACGAAAACACAAUGCCCAUGCAGCAGUGAUUACCUGUAAAACCAGCUUCAUGUCUGCAUCAUAGCAAAGACAGAUCAAACAGGAGAGGAUGGUCAUUUACGAAUUAAAUUAGCAAUGGGAAAAUGUUAAAUUAACAAAAACUGCACAAACUGCUCUCUGUUAUGUCACGCUCACCUGCAUGCCGACCAUCUGUGGACAUAGAGACACGUAGGUGGCAGCUGGCACCGACCUUCACUCGCUCUCUGUUUGUCAUCAUGUCCUCUAGUGCCUCGGCUAGCUCCAUCUCUCUCUGCCUAGAAAGGGUGCUGAUCUUGUGCCAGCACGGGAUGAGAGAGGAAGCGUGGUGCCCCAGAUGGGAGCUUGAAGGGGAUUCAGAACUGGUAGUUGUUACCGCGGCGAUGGCGAUCUCCCUGCCAGCGCAGGAAGAGCCAUCGGCGAGAUCCCCGAAUCGAUCACCGUGGAGACCGCACCCACAGCCUCAGAUUCAACAGCCGUGUGCUGCUCCUUGCUCCAGCAGUCCAGCCGCUGUAGCUCCUGCUUGGCGCCGCCACCAUCAGCCGUAAAAGGGAAGGGAGAGAAAAGGGAAUGAGCGAGACAGAGGAGAUGUGGGAAUCGAAGCGAGGGAAGAUAAUACUCCCUUCUUUCUUUUUCUUUUUAAAUGUAAGUCAUUCUAGAAUUUUUAGGAUAAAUUAUGGUUGUUUAAAAAAGACUCUUCUAUCCCUAAUUAUUAAACAUUGUGAAUGUGCUAAUUAAACUAG
Molecule: long non-coding RNA, 1302 nt
Organism: Panicum virgatum (switchgrass)
Lineage: Eukaryota; Viridiplantae; Streptophyta; Magnoliopsida; Poales; Poaceae
Exons: 2
Source: RefSeq, a predicted model, not a curated record